UUUACAUAUACCUCUCCAGUGGUUAGAGCGUCCGCCUCGGAUGCGGGAGGUCGCGGGUUCGAACUCUUGCCGAGUCAUAUCAAAG
Potamilus streckersoni is the source of this 85-nucleotide non-coding RNA. The record is from the annotation of a GenBank genome assembly. NCBI's taxonomy places the organism in Eukaryota, Metazoa, Mollusca, Bivalvia, Unionida, Unionidae.